This 292-nucleotide ribosomal RNA is filed under the name uncultured bacterium. RNAcentral describes it as "partial 16S ribosomal RNA". It matches the Rfam family "Bacterial small subunit ribosomal RNA", at positions 505 to 796 of the family's 1533-position model. The record is from RNAcentral.
GUGCCAGCAGCCGCGGUAAGACGAACCGUGCGAACGUUGUUCGGAUUCACUGGGCUUAAAGGGCGCGUAGGCGGCUCGGCAAGUCGGGGGUGAAAUCUUUCAGCUCAACUGGAAAAGGGCCCCCGAUACUGCCGGGCUGGAGGGAGGUAGGGGCACGCGGAACUUCCGGUGGAGCGGUGAAAUGCGUAGAUAUCGGAAGGAACGCCGGUGGCGAAAGCGGCGUGCUGGAUCUCCACUGACGCUGAGGCGCGAAAGCCAGGGGAGCAAACGGGAUUAGAUACCCCAGUAGUCC